GAAGACAGUGUAGACAAGAACAAAAGUGCCAAUAAUCUCAGCACCAAGGCCAUCUCCCUUGGUGUAACCAUGGGCAACAACAUUGGCACCUCCACCCUUAGUCUCAAACAAAGAUGGCUGGAACCCUUUGACAACACCAGCACCACAGAUUGCACCAAGGCACUGCAUCACAAUGUAGAACACUGCCCUGGUUAAGGACAAUUUCCUUGCCAGAAAUAAACCAAAUGUCACAGCAGGGUUAAUGUGUCCACCUGAUAUGCCAGCAGUGCAGUAAACAAGGGCAAAAAUCAUACCCCCAAAAGCCCAAGCAAUGCCUUGAACACCAACAGUACUACAUUUGCUGUUAGCCCUUGAAUAACCCAUAACAGUCAAUACAGUUAUGUAAAGGAACAAAAAAGUAGCCAUGAACUCUGCAAUCCCAGCUCUCCAAAAAGACCAAGAAUGUAGCUCACCAGCCUCAAAUAAUGGUGCUGGUGGUGCCUCCUUGUAGUCCUUGCUCUGUGCUGAAGUCCCUAAUGGCUGCCUUUCUGAAUACUUGUUUGCUCCAACCUUCACAUCCUCUUCUUUCCCCUCCAUUUUUACAAAAAUUUCUUCAAAAUUAUGCCAAAGAAAAC
RNAcentral lists this unclassified non-coding RNA (614 nucleotides) under Hevea brasiliensis (rubber tree). The record is from RNAcentral. Lineage: Eukaryota; Viridiplantae; Streptophyta; Magnoliopsida; Malpighiales; Euphorbiaceae.